Molecule: long non-coding RNA, 950 nt
Organism: Pseudomyrmex gracilis
Lineage: Eukaryota; Metazoa; Arthropoda; Insecta; Hymenoptera; Formicidae
Exons: 4
Source: RefSeq, a predicted model, not a curated record
CAAAAGUCGCGUUUCAUCGCGUUACUCUUCGACAUAUUUCGCUCACUUUAUUGAUCACAUUGAUCGUUCGGGAAUGAAUUAAAUUUGUCUCCACGUCGGACCAUAGAUAUUUUGGUAUGAAUUCUUACAAAAUUGAGUUUUGUCUGCAAAUAAAAGUAUAAAAAUAAGAUGAAUAUCGAUAUUUUUUAAUAUCGAUUAACUUUACUUAGCGACUAAUACAGCAAAAAUAAAAAAUUCUUGUCAGCAAUAAAUAAAGACAGUUUAUACAGUAUCUGUUUCUCUUCGGUUUCUGGACAAUCUCGGAGAACGUAAACAUUUACAGCGAGAUCAAAUAUCGAGAGGGGUAGAAGGAUAUUCCUUUCCUUCUUCCGGAUGUUUCGUCGUUCCCGGAACGACAACGUGCGCGCGCCCGUCCGUUUAUGAUAAUCCGUAGCAAAUCCGAACAAAGCAGACACAGUUACAUGUCUGAAUGUGGAACACGAUUGAUUUAUUUGUCGUAUCGUGCCUUGACGUGUGUGACGCCUCCUGGAAACUAACUGUCAACGUUGCGCCGGAAACGCUAGAUCUCUCUGUGCCGGAGUUAACACCAGGAAGUACAACCGACGGCAGGAAAGAAUCUAUGGCAAAAGGGGAGUGCGCAUAUUCUUUCGAUAAGGUCGUAGAAAUGUGCUGGUACAACCGUCUGUGACCUCGUGUCAACAUAUGGACGGAUAUUUCCGUUUCGGUGCCGGCGCAGCGACGUGGCUGUGCAACGAUUGCAACGGAAGAGACACGUGAAAACACACAUUCCCGAAACCAAUCUAAACUUCACAAAUAACAUUUGGAUAUCUGUUUUUCUCGCGCAUCUUUGUUCACGCGUAGCAAAAAUAAAGAAUAUUUUUUUUGUGAAAGAACGAACUCUUCGGAAAAUGUGAUAACGCGUGUACGUAACACGAGAUACUGUAUUUUCA